AGGGAUGUAGCUCAGUGGUAGAGCGCAUGAGACCAGGUUCAAUCCCUGGCAUCUCCA
Molecule: transfer RNA, 57 nt
Filed under: Bos taurus (domestic cattle)
Lineage: Eukaryota; Metazoa; Chordata; Mammalia; Artiodactyla; Bovidae
Also listed under: 5 other names
Rfam family: tRNA
About the family: Transfer RNA (tRNA) molecules are approximately 80 nucleotides in length. Their secondary structure includes four short double-helical elements and three loops (D, anti-codon, and T loops).
Source: Rfam by way of RNAcentral